CUUAUUUUACCUUUUCCAAUUUCCAAAAAAAAGGAUUCUUUUAAGUCGUUUAUAUUAAAGGACUAAAAAAAAUAUUGACAGUUUUUCUUGCAUUCUCGAACACAUCGAUGAUAUGAAGAUAAACUUGGAAGCUUCUCUCUUUCCAACAAUACAUCGAAAGUCCGAACGAGUUAUCUCCGAAGAACCAAGAAGCGAAGCUCUAACGUCUAAUCUUCAAAGAUCUGAUGAACUGUAAAUGAAUCUCUCAAGGAGCUCUCAACCCAUGAAUCUUGUCAUUAGUUGCUUGAAUCGAAGGGAAGAGAACCUAGAACCUAACAUAUUGUCCUUGAUUUUAAACCUUUUUCAGGUAUUUUUCAAUUUCUUACUCUGUAAAAUAUUAUUCCAUGGUGGAGAUUUAUGUGUAUGUGUUUUUGUAGUUACGGUUUCGAAUUUAUGUGAAUUUUAAAAAUUUCCUGUUCUUUAACAGAAUUAAUCUUCAACCUUCUUUAAGUGUUUCUCUAUCUCUAAUAAUUAGGGUUUCGAACUGCGUAUCUCUAUUGCUCUGUGUGUAUGUUUUUGUGUGGGCAUACGUUUCUUCCCUUUUUUGUUGCAUUUUGAUCAUAUGCGUGUACCUUUAUUUUUGUUACUUUUGUUAGGUGUUUUCCUAAUUUUCUUACCAUAUUUGGUUUUCCUAUCUCUUGAAGGAAAGGGCAACAUAUUUACAAUAAUAGGAUUUUCCUUCUCGUACAAGGAAAUUAUAAAUCUUUCAUAUUGGCUAGUCAUUUAUCUUGUAGGGAAAGGUUUUAGACCUCUAUAAAUUGAGGAUCCUUCCUUCUCAUUUAUCAGCAUCCACAAUAUAGCCAUAUCGGGUUUGACAGUCGUGUUUAGGGGGAGAACUUUACAGGACAAGUGUUAGUGUGUCACUUGUGUUUGACUCUUCGUGAGGUUGCUCUCUCGAUAUUUUGUACUCUCUUUUAAUAUAGUGGAUUGCUCAUCUCCGCCGCGGACGUAGGUCAAUUGACCGAACCACGUUAAAUGUUUGUGUUUCUUUUGGUAGAUUUUUCUUUUACUUUCUGAUUUAUCGUCGUUCAAGGUUUGUUUUACUAGUUCCCGCAUGACACCUGAUUAUUUCUGUCCUAACAACUUUUUGGGUUAGUUUGAUUUUUCUAUUUUUCUUUGUUCUAUUAAUGGAAACAGUAGCAUUUCUUCCGUUAAAGUUGUUGUUUGGGGUCUGGUUAAUUUUCUACAGUGUAGAGGAGGAGAAGAGGGCGAAUAGGGAGCAUUAUAAGUUGGCUAAGAAAGAGGCAAAGCUAGCAGUUACGGCGGCCAAGACUGCAACUUUUAGUCAUUUGUAUAAGGAACUCGAGGGCCGAGGUGGGGAUAAGAGGUUGUUUAGAUUAGUCAAGGCGCGUGACUUAGACCAAGUGAAGUGCAUCAAAGACGAAGAAGGUAGAGUUUUGUUCGAUGAGGGGCGUAUCCGUUGGAGAUGGCAGACCUACUUUCAUAAUCUCUUGAAUGAAGAGGGGGACAGGAGCAUUGUACAGGGUGAUUUGGAACUCUCCGGGAGUUGUUGUGACUUUGGGUAUUGUAGGCGGAUUAGAGUUGAUGAAGUUGAGAGGGCUAUGCGUAAGAUGAGCAAGGGCAAAGCGACCGGGCCGGAUGAAAUUCCGGUGGAGUUUUGAAAGAGCGUGGGCAAGGCAGACUUGGAGUGGCUCACUAGGUUAUUUAAUGUUAUUUUUAGAACGAAGAAGAUGCCCAACAAGACUGUUCUUUCUUUGUGUGAUUUUUAUCUACAACAGCACAAACCUUCUGCAACUGAAAGCUAAUAGGACAUAUUUUUCCUGCUAUAGAACACAUAAUUCUGACAUUUCAUUUAAAGUAGUCUUUACUCUCGCAUGCGAAAGUAUUAAGGUCAUAAUUAACAAUUUCAAUAUUGGCCUGCUUCAAGGUUUUCAUGUCUCAAAGUUUUUCAACGAGGAGUUCUAGACUUUUUACUAAUUAGUUUUAUUCACUCGAGUGCGAUGAGAACCAUUCAUUAAGUUAAUACAUUGGUCAUUUUCAAAAGUUCUACUAUGCUCAUCUCUUAUAAGGCUUCAAAAUAUACAUGGCUAAGAUAAUCUAGUUUCAACAAUGUCACAGGGCUUGAUAGGAUCAUAUAAAUAUAUUGAGUGGGCUCCUGUUUAUUAGUUUUUUGGUUGUUUUCUUUUGGAGUAUCAUUGGGUUAUAGAGUUCGAAUUGAUACACCAGAGAGUAAGAAAUUUCAAAGGUUUCUAGUUUUGGUGAUAUUAAUAGAAAAUAACUUAUAUAUUUUGCACCACAUAUUACAACAACAACAUUUUGCACCACAUUGUGAAUCUCUUUUAAUUGCAGAACUGUUUAUAUCUUUUAAUUCUUUUAUAAGACCGUCUUUUAUAUAUAGAAAGAUCGGCCAUUAAGUAUAAAGUACAGUAGUAUGAUUCCUUAGAUUAAAAUGGAUACUACUGUAUAUAAUUAAGCACUGCUUUAUUAUGAUUGACUUAAUCCAAAUUGUUAAAACUCUAGUUUUUUUUAGGAUUAAUGAUCAUUUAAACUUGCGGAUAACAAUGUAAUCCUGUUAAAUAUGCAUACAUUGAGUUGCCUCCCAGUUCCUAAAAGGAUACUGGUUUUUUGCCUAUAUGUGUUACCUAUUUAUAUUGCCUUUUAUUCUGUUGUAGCUGAAGAUGAUUGACAAUGUGCAAGAGGCUGAUAGUGGAGCUUUUUCCGUUGUGAAUUAAGUUUUCGACUCAUAAAAAUGAAAAUUUGUUAUUUAACUUCUGUCAUUAUUCUAGAAUUUGUGGAAUAAAAGAGCAACAUGAGAAUUCAUUGGUUCAUUCCAUUGAUCUCAUUGUAUUUUGCAUAUUUUGGUUAUCUCAAAUGAGUUUCAUACUGUUGGUUAUCUUGUAUAGUCAGGCUUCAUGAACACAAGUGAGUCAAGAGAAUCAUAUAGUUAUCAUAAAAUGAUAUAAGUUGACCUUCUUCAUGUUUUUCUUAAUAUUAAAGAUUGUUUGAACGUAACGUCUAGUCAAGUAAAAACAAUUAAACAUGAUUCAGAUGUCUUAGAGUGAGGGGUACAUCUAUUCUCUUACAAUGAUUGAUAUUUUUAGUUUAGCGGGCACUAUUCGAGGCAAUAAGUAGUAGCAUCUUACCUCUGAUAUAGGACGCUUGAUGAAUUUGAGGCCAAAAAGGUCAGUAUCCAUUCAGAGUAUUAAAACACCUUUUUUUUUGUCAUUUUAGAGUUGCUUUUGCAUCUUUAUUUACUUGGAUGAAAAAGUAAGGUCUGAAACUCCUAUUUAUCACUUAGUAUUUUGGAUUGAGCACAUAUGCACUAGAGAGAUGUAGAUAUCUCUAUUGGCGUAUGUGUUAUACGCGAUACGGAUGAAACACUUCUUUCAUUCCUUUUUAUGAUACACAGUUAACUGCCUAUAAAGAAUAACAAGCUAAAUGGCUUAGACUCUCAUUGUACUGUAUGUUGCGAUUUUGCUACUUUCGAGUAUCUCACCUGGAAAUGGAUCUAACGGAGGAGGUCAUGCAUAAAUUUAACUGAUAGAUAAUUUCUCUGAGGCAGCAGAAAAAAACAUUUGUUAAACUAGAAAGGGAGUGAUUAAUAGUCAUUUAAAAGUUUGACAGGAAAUACAGUCCAUUAGUGAGAUUAAGUGUUUAAACUUCAUUAAAAAGCUUUACCUGCUUAGCUAAGGCUGCCUGCACAGUAGGAAAAGAGCGACCUGUAGUUACUGAAGCCAAGGAAACCCUCGAGUGAGUUUCUAUUUUCUUGCAAGUUAUACAGGUUCAUGUAGCUAGUGGUUAUUUUCCAACAUGGAGAACCAUAGAUAGGGUGGUAAAAUCUUCUUCACUAGUAAAUGAUAGUUUUAAUUUUGUGCAAAAUUUAUUGUCUAGAAAUUUUAAACUUUAUUAUCUGGAGUGCUUACGGCAUCAAUUAAUGGCUCUUAAAACUAAUUGGUAUAUAUGUAAUGUUUACAUCUAUAAGAAGAAAAGGUUUCCUUUGAAGUUUAGAUCUGAAGUAAAAUAAUUGUUGGACUACUUGUGAAUAUAUUUUUCUGUGAAACUUCUUUUAAAUUAUUUAUAUAUAAUCUUUUGUAGGUGAAGCAAAUGAACAAAGGAUAGAUGAUAGCAGUGAAGAAGCUUGGUAGUUUUGAUUGAUCCUUACUAGAUUUUUUUAACGUCCUAGGAAUCUUUUAUGUUUGAACUUUUUGAAAAUUUAUGUAUGUCAAUCCUUAAAUUGUCAAACAUAUUGUAUAUUUUGUUGUUAUAUAUGGAUAAUACGAGUUGGAUUUGCGAUGUAUACGAAUUUAAGUGCAUUCUAUUUUAUUAUAUAG
This 4331-nucleotide long non-coding RNA is filed under the name Nicotiana tabacum (common tobacco). Its description in RNAcentral is "long non-coding RNA (NTAB_LNC010263)". The record is from RNAcentral. Lineage: Eukaryota; Viridiplantae; Streptophyta; Magnoliopsida; Solanales; Solanaceae.